GUUUUGAUUAGACAGUGGCUUUCCUGAAUCUACUUUUCCCUUUUCUCAUGGAUGUCUCACAUGUAUGUGAUUCUGGCUGUUCUUUUAAUCCCACAGGGCUCUGCAGAAUGAAACUCACUCAAAAAUGUAGAACUGUAUGAAGUAAAGAAGGAGAUGCUGCAGGGAGUCCUGGCUGGAAAAGUUGUGGGUCUUCCACAAAUUACAAAAGCAGGGAAGUAGACCCAGGAAAAACUUCCUAUAUUACGGUGUGUGUGUGCAGAAGCCAAACCAAAGUAGUAAACUUCAACCACUUUGGAAGGAAGCAUCGAUCCAGUUCUAACAUCGAUACAACUACAGACAAGUGAACUACAAGUCAAGAUUUAAUGCAGCGUGAAAAUGUUCUGAGCAGUAUUUAUGAUCACAUUCAGUACUUAACUGGCUAUUGUGUUGAUGCACCAUUAGGUAGUGGAUAAUGUAACUGUUCCUU
This 466-nucleotide long non-coding RNA is filed under the name Pogona vitticeps (central bearded dragon). RNAcentral describes it as "lncRNA (ENSPVIG00000008112.1)". The record is from RNAcentral. Lineage: Eukaryota; Metazoa; Chordata; Lepidosauria; Squamata; Agamidae.